This 696-nucleotide long non-coding RNA is filed under the name Trifolium pratense (red clover). RNAcentral describes it as "long non-coding RNA (TPRA_LNC003394)". Lineage: Eukaryota; Viridiplantae; Streptophyta; Magnoliopsida; Fabales; Fabaceae. The record is from RNAcentral.
GAGAAAAGUAUGAAUAAAAUUUGGCAAGAGCAUUAGAAUAGGAUUGUUGAAGAGUAUCAACCGUACCCUUAGUCAUUACCAAUUUACCAUUCCACACACACAUGAGGAUGAUUAUAACCAACAAAGUAAAAGGCAUAUUAGAUUGUCUCACAUGUAAAAGUAAAAUUAACACAAACAAUAACUUGUUCCUGAAAAGGAGGAGUGACUACUAAGAACAACCACAAAAGUCAGUCUUAAGUAGGUGAGGUAGGCGGCACUCCUUGAAGCAUUUGGCUCUCCGCUAAAAUGGUAAACUUUUGUGGCUCCCGUGGCGCGGCAAAUUAUUUCCAAUUCAUCUGGGGUUUGAUCAGCAUAACCGAUACGAUUGACACCAUCUGUUGGGGGCCGUGCAAGAGCUUGCUGGAAGAUACCGAACCUGCGCUCUUCCUCCUCUUUGGAAGGGUAUAUUAUUAAGCACAUUGUGCACCAGAUUUUGAAAAGUUCUCGAUCUGUGAGUUCUGCAGCAACUGCAAAACAAGAAUUAAGCAAUAUCAAGAAGAAAAGAAAAGAAAGGAAAAAAAGAAGAUAGAAUUUGCAAACAAGAAAUCCGUUCGAACGGGAACAAAAUAGAACGAAACAAACCAGCCAACAAGAUAUAUAAGAAAGCAAGAAAGAAUGAAUCGUUGUCUUUCUGGAGGCUGGAAUUGGAGACGCGAG